Molecule: non-coding RNA, 28 nt
Filed under: Mus musculus (house mouse)
Lineage: Eukaryota; Metazoa; Chordata; Mammalia; Rodentia; Muridae
Source: RNAcentral
UCUUCCUGUGCCAUGAAGAAUUUGUUGC